GCCGGAAGUUACUGCUAUCGAGGUUCGACUAAGCCAUGCGAGUCGAAUGUAGCAAUACAUGGCGAACUGCUCAGUAACACGUGGACAACCUGCCCUUAGGACGGGGAUAAACCCGGGAAACUGGGUAUAAUACCCGAUAGGUCUCGAUUGCUGGAAUGCAUCGAGAUUUAAAGCUCCGGCGCCUAAGGAUGGGUCUGCGGCCUAUCAGGUAGUAGUGGGUGUAGCGUACCUACUAGCCUACGACGGGUACGGGUUGUGAGAGCAAGAGCCCGGAGAUGGAUUCUGAGACACGAAUCCAGGCCCUACGGGGUGCAGCAGGCGCGAAAACUUUACAAUGCUGGCAACAGCGAUAAGGGAACCUCGAGUGCCAGGUUACAAAUCUGGCUGUCGAGAUGCCUAAAAAGCAUUUCAUAGCAAGGGCCGGGCAAGACCGGUGCCAGCCGCCGCGGUAACACCGGCGGCUCGAGUGGUAACCGUUAUUGUUGGGUCUAAAGGGUCUGUAGCCGGCCGGAUAAGUCUCUUGAGAAAUCUGGCAGCUUAACUGUCAGGCUUUCAGGAGAUACUGUCUGGCUCGAGGCCGGGAGAGGUGAGAGGUACUUCAGGGGUAGGGGUGAAAUCUUGUAAUCCUUGAAGGACCACCAGUGGCGAAGGCGUCUCACCAGAACGGACCUGACGGCAAGGGACGAAAGCUAGGGGCACGAACCGGAUUAGAUACCCGGGUAGUCCUAGCCGUAAACGAUACUCGCUAGGUGUCGGCCACGGUGCGACCGUUGUCGGUGCCGUAGGGAAGCCGUGAAGCGAGCCACCUGGGAAGUACGGCCGCAAGGCUGAAACUUAAAGGAAUUGGCGGGGGAGCACCACAACGGGUGGAGCUUGCGGUUUAAUUGGAUUCAACGCCGG
Molecule: ribosomal RNA, 900 nt
Filed under: uncultured archaeon
Lineage: Archaea
Description: bacterial SSU rRNA
Rfam family: Archaeal small subunit ribosomal RNA
Source: RNAcentral